GACGAACGCUGGCGGCGUGCUUAACACAUGCAAGUCGAACGAGAGCGUAGAGAAAGCUUGCUUUUUUUACAAUCUAGUGGCAAACGGGUGAGUAACGCGUAAACAACCUGCCCUACGGAUGGGGACAACAGCUGGAAACGGCUGCUAAUACCGAAUACGUUCCGAAAGUUGCAUGACUGUCGGAAGAAAGGAUGGCCUCUAUUUAUAAGCUAUCGCCGGAGGAGGGGUUUGCGUCUGAUUAGCUAGUUGGAGGGGUAACGGCCCACCAAGGCGACGAUCAGUAGCCGGUCUGAGAGGAUGAUACGGCCACAUUGGAACUGAGACACGGUCCAGACUCCUACGGGAGGCAGCAGUGGGGAAUCUUCCGCAAUGGGCGAAAGCCUGACGGAGCAACGCCGCGUGAGUGAAGACGGCCUUCGGGUUGUAAAGCUCUGUUAUACGGGACGAAUAAUCUUGUGGUUAAUACCCAUGAGAAGUGACGGA
RNAcentral lists this ribosomal RNA (483 nucleotides) under Megasphaera micronuciformis. RNAcentral describes it as "bacterial SSU rRNA". It matches the Rfam family "Bacterial small subunit ribosomal RNA", at positions 28 to 476 of the family's 1533-position model. Lineage: Bacteria; Bacillati; Bacillota; Negativicutes; Veillonellales; Veillonellaceae. The record is from RNAcentral.